This is an RNA transcript of Trichomycterus rosablanca, 546 nucleotides long. It is a transcript of the gene named cytoplasmic polyadenylation element-binding protein 1-like, with no coding region annotated. NCBI's taxonomy places the organism in Eukaryota, Metazoa, Chordata, Actinopteri, Siluriformes, Trichomycteridae. The transcript is spliced from 4 exons. The record is from RefSeq and is a predicted model, not a curated record.
ACUUACUGCUUCGUUUCUCAUGGACCGACACGCUGCCCUCAACCUGUGAGCAAGCCCGGAGUAUUCAGGUGUUCCUGUGGGGAGUUUCCUGUGACCUUAAUGGAGGUUGAAGUGUUGUCGUGGGAACUAAUGGGCAGAAGUUAUUCACUGCCUCACUUCCGGCUGGUGGACAGCAACUCGGUACAUGUUCCAGCUCUGCAUGGGAGACUCCAUGCUAAGGCUCUUGUAGUCAUAUUUAAAGAUCUUUUUGGUGGAGUCUCCUAUGCAGAGCUCGGCUUGGACGAGAACAAGAACCCCACCGGCUCUGCACAGGUCUUUUUGAUGACAAAAAUGGCUACCUAAAGGCCCUCUGUGCAGAGUCUGUGGUGGUAAAGACGACCAAGUUCUCCAGGAAGAUCUCCCUGAAUUAAUGCUGCCAUUCAACGGCUGAAGCUCUGAGGAACCACGACGUUCCUAUGAUGAGAAAUUCCAGUUAAUUACUUAUUUACUUAAUUUACUUUAUUUAUUUUAAGUUAUCCUAAUAAAAUACGUUUGGUUUGAGUUGUA